AGAGUUUGAUCCUGGCUCAGGAUGAACGCUAGCGGCAGGCUUAACACAUGCAAGUCGAGGGGUAUAGUUCUUCGGAACUAGAGACCGGCGCACGGGUGCGUAACGCGUAUGCAAUCUACCUUUUGCAGAGGGAUAGCCCAGAGAAAUUUGGAUUAAUACCUCAUAGUAUGUGAGAAUGGCAUCAUUUUCGCAUUAAAGUCACAACGGCAAAAGAUGAGCAUGCGUCCCAUUAGCUAGUUGGUAAGGUAACGGCUUACCAAGGCAACGAUGGGUAGGGGUCCUGAGAGGGAGAUCCCCCACACUGGUACUGAGACACGGACCAGACUCCUACGGGAGGCAGCAGUGAGGAAUAUUGGACAAUGGGCGCAAGCCUGAUCCAGCCAUGCCGCGUGCAGGAUGACGGUCCUAUGGAUUGUAAACUGCUUUUGUACAGGAAGAAACACUGGUUCGUGAACCAGCUUGACGGUACUGUAAGAAUAAGGAUCGGCUAACUCCGUGCCAGCAGCCGCGGUAAUACGGAGGAUCCAAGCGUUAUCCGGAAUCAUUGGGUUUAAAGGGUCCGUAGGCGGUUUAGUAAGUCAGUGGUGAAAGCCCAUCGCUCAACGGUGGAACGGCCAUUGAUACUGCUAGACUUGAAUUAUUAGGAAGUAACUAGAAUAUGUAGUGUAGCGGUGAAAUGCGUAG
Molecule: ribosomal RNA, 684 nt
Filed under: uncultured bacterium
Lineage: Bacteria
Description: bacterial SSU rRNA
Rfam family: Bacterial small subunit ribosomal RNA
Source: RNAcentral